GGAGUCUGGACCGUGUCUCAGUUCCAAUGUGGCUGUUCGUCCUCUCAGACCAGCUAUAGAUCGUCGGCUUGGUAGGCCUUUACCCCACCAACUACCUAAUCUUCCGCGGGCCAAUCUUUCGGCAAUAAAUCUUUCCCCCUUAGGGCUUAUGCGGUAUUAGCAGAAGUUUCCCUCUGUUGUCCCCACCAAAAGGCAUGUUCCCACGUGUUACUCACCAGUGCGCUACUCUCAUCGCUCAGUGCAAGCACUCAGCAAAUCCCGUUCAACUUGCAUGUGUUAGGCACGCCGCCAGCGUUCAUC
This 300-nucleotide ribosomal RNA is filed under the name Alphaproteobacteria bacterium. Its description in RNAcentral is "partial 16S ribosomal RNA". The record is from RNAcentral. Lineage: Bacteria; Pseudomonadati; Pseudomonadota; Alphaproteobacteria.